CCGCACGAAAGGCGUAACGAUCUGGGCACUGUCUCAACGAGAGACUCGGUGAAAUUAUAUUGUCCGUGAAGAUGCGGACUACCCGCGACAGGACGGAAAGACCCCAUGGAGCUUUACUGUAGCUUGAUAUUGAGUGUUUGUACAGCUUGUACAGGAUAGGUAGGAGCCAUAGAAACCGGAACGCUAGUUUCGGUGGAGGCAUUGGUGGGAUACUACCCUCGCUGUAUGACCACUCUAACCCGCACCACUAAUCGUGGUGGGAGACAGUGUCAGGUGGGCAGUUUGACUGGGGCGGUCGCCUCCUAAAAAGUAACGGAGGCGCCCAAAGGUUCCCUCAGAAUGGUUGGAAAUCAUUCGCAGAGUGUAAAGGCACAAGGGAGCUUGACUGCGAGACAGACAGG
This 401-nucleotide ribosomal RNA is filed under the name Lactiplantibacillus plantarum. RNAcentral's name for it is "bacterial LSU rRNA". It matches the Rfam family "Bacterial large subunit ribosomal RNA", at positions 1988 to 2388 of the family's 2925-position model. Lineage: Bacteria; Bacillati; Bacillota; Bacilli; Lactobacillales; Lactobacillaceae. The record is from RNAcentral.